UACUCCUACGGGAGGCAGCAGUGGGGAAUUUUGGACAAUGGGCGAAAGCCUGAUCCAGCAAUGCCGCGUGCAGGAUGAAGGCCUUCGGGUUGUAAACUGCUUUUGUACGGAACGAAAAGCUUCUGGUUAAUACCUGGGAGUCAUGACGGUACCGUAAGAAUAAGCACCGGCUAACUACGUGCCAGCAGCCGCGGUAAUAAU
Molecule: ribosomal RNA, 201 nt
Filed under: uncultured Comamonas sp.
Lineage: Bacteria; Pseudomonadati; Pseudomonadota; Betaproteobacteria; Burkholderiales; Comamonadaceae
Description: partial 16S ribosomal RNA
Rfam family: Bacterial small subunit ribosomal RNA
Source: RNAcentral